This 449-nucleotide ribosomal RNA is filed under the name uncultured bacterium. RNAcentral describes it as "partial 16S ribosomal RNA". It matches the Rfam family "Bacterial small subunit ribosomal RNA", at positions 28 to 523 of the family's 1533-position model. The record is from RNAcentral.
GACGAACGCUGGCGGCAUGCCUAACACAUGCAAGUCGAACGAAGCUUUCGGGCUUAGUGGCGCACGGGUGCGUAACGCGUGGGAAUCUGCCCUUUGGUUCGGAAUAACAGUUGGAAACGACUGCUAAUACCGGAUGAUGACGAAAGUCCAAAGAUUUAUCGCCAGAGGAUGAGCCCGCGUAGGAUUAGCUAGUUGGUGUGGUAAAGGCGCACCAAGGCGACGAUCCUUAGCUGGUCUGAGAGGAAGAUCAGCCACACUGGGACUGAGACACGGCCCAGACUCCUACGGGAGGCAGCAGUGGGGAAUAUUGGACAAUGGGCGAAAGCCUGAUCCAGCAAUGCCGCGUGAGUGAUGAAGGCCCUAGGGUUGUAAAGCUCUUUUACCCGGGAUGAUAAUGACAGUACCGGGAGAAUAAGCCCCGGCUAACUCCGUGCCAGCCGCCGCCGUAA